Molecule: ribosomal RNA, 416 nt
Filed under: uncultured Stauroneidaceae
Lineage: Eukaryota; Bacillariophyta; Bacillariophyceae; Naviculales; Stauroneidaceae
Description: SSU rRNA
Rfam family: Eukaryotic small subunit ribosomal RNA
Source: RNAcentral
CCAGCACCCGCGGUAAUUCCAGCUCCAAUAGCGUAUAUUAAAGUUGUUGCAGUUAAAAAGCUCGUAGUUGGAUUUGUGGCGUGUGCGUGGGCGUCCAUUUGUUUGGUUCUGCCUGUGCGGCGCCAUCCUUGGGUGGAUCUUGUGUGGCAUUAGGUUGUCGCGCAGGGGAUGCCCAUCGUUUACUGUGAAAAAAUUAGAGUGUUCAAAGCAGGCUUAUGCCGUUGAAUAUAUUAGCAUGGAAUAAUAAGAUAGGUCUUUGGUCCUAUUUUGUUGGUUUGCGGGCCAGAGAAAUGAUUAACAGGGACAGUUGGGGGUAUUCGUAUUCCAUUGUCAGAGGUGAAAUUCUUGGAUUUCUGGAAGACGAACUACUGCGAAAGCAUUUACCAAGGAUGUUUUCAUUAAUCAAGAACGAAAGU